AAACAAAAGCCCCACACAAUGCACGAGCGGAUCCCUCCAUCAAAACCACCCAGCGCUUCAAAAGGUUACGAGCCAAAACCGCUUUGCCGAUUUUCAAAAUUCUUUUUUCCACUUCGUCCUGGAUCCUCAAACUACUGCGUAGGGGGUUUCUUUUUUUCGUUUUUCCUCCCUUUUUAUAGAUAUUUGUACCUUUUCUCCCGGGUUCGUUCCAAAAUCGCUCCAAAACCUCUCCAUCACGAUUAGUGCUCUCCGAGCUCUUUGUCCCAUUGUCCCGUUUCUAAAGGUUCUUUCUCUCUCUUUUCUCUUGGUCUCUACAAAAGAUUUCAAAACUUCUUCCUCCAGCAAUCGUUCCAUUUCAAAGGAGGCUUUUCAAAUGUGCUCAUAAUUUUUUGGUGAUUUGGAAUUGGAUGAUAAUAAAUCUACGUGCACUGCUGGUUGGCAUUCCUUUUCGAACUCGAAGCGGUUGUCGACGGUCGUGUUCUACAGUGCUACAGUGCUACAGUGCUACAGCUGCAGCUACGUACGUACGGUACACCCGCUGCUGCCCGUUUUUUGGUUUUGCGAUUGCUGCUGGCUGAUCCCCUUCUUCACUGGCAUCAGAAUCGAUGGCAUGUGAAUACAGAUAAACGAUCGGAUUCGCUGACUUUUUGGUACAACAAAUCAAAUAGCGUUUCAAGCAAUGAUUACGACGCAGACGUGAUUCUCGGACCUUCGAAACGAAAUUCGUGGCAUUUAUGUUGUCGUUAAAUCGAACAAAGAAACAUGAAAAAACUUGACUGUGGAGAAACGGACUAAAGUUAUUUAGAUUAGCUGUUGUCCGUAAAUUGUAUUUUGUUAAUUUGUUGUUAGAGUAAGAUUCCUUUCUGAUGCACGAAACUUGGCUGUUUUUUAUCUUUCUAUUUCUUAACUGCUUUGUUCCUGCAGUGUUUCAAAAGCUAAUUGUGACGGAGAUUUGAUAUGUGGACCUCAAAUGUAUAGAACUGCGUAAUAACUCUAUAACUCUUUGGAGUUUAGAAGAGGAGUCGUUAAUUCUUUUAUGAAUCGACAUUUUUUAAGGAAUUUUGAUGCUUAAGAAAUUUUUAGAUGAUAUAUAUCUAAACGAGCACCAUGGACCAAUAACGGCUAACAGGAAUUUAUUGUUGGAAAACGUUAAUGUUUGAUUCAAAAUAAACAGAGGAACUUUAAAGGUGGCCCCAAAUUAUAUCUUAAAACAGCAUCACAAAUGAACAAGAAUUGAACGAAAUGCUAUGUUAAAGAUAUUCACGCUGGAUUCAAAAUGAACAUUACAGCAUUAAGAAUGGCCUUAGAAAAUAUUUAUAAGCGCCCUAUAAGUCGACGAGGGCUAAGAGUGUAUGAUUGGACAACUUAAAAAUUUGAUUCUGACUAAAUAGGAGAAAUUAUAGGAUUAACUCGUGAAAAUGAUGGGGGCUGGCAGAAGUAUGUAGCUGUCAAGUUUAAAGUAGAAUUCAGAAUAUUUAACAAAGCUUUUAGAUAAGCCUGCAAGAUAUUUAAACGAGCACCACGAUUCACCGAGAGAUAAAAGAAAAUGGAAGUUUCAAAACAUUGCAAUUAGAAUAAGCAGGAGAAAUAAAGAGGGUAACCCGUGAAAGUAUUUAAGCAAGGACCCCAAAUAGAUCGUGGCUUACAAAAUGUAUUGAAGCAACUUUCUGUAUUGCCUUGAUAUUGCAACCGUUUAUGUAUCAAAUUGAUAUGCACAUUUUAAUAAACGGAAGAGUAGCUCCCAGUAAAUCCCGCUCUUUGGGCACCCUAUGGCCCCAAAAUGGGAUAGUAAGAUUAGCUUCUGAAUAAGUCAAGAGUGCUAUUAACCUUGAUUUCAAAGGGCUUCAGAUGGUGAUGAAAGCCAUGAUAUUGCUAAUUGGUAAUCAUAAUAAUCAAGGAACUACUUAUUGGAUUGAUUCUAUUAGGAAUUUCGCAAGUAUGGGUAUCUGGAGCCAGCAAGUAAUUAAGUUUGGGUUUACUUUUCUAAAAGGAUUUACUGAAUUACAAUCAAGGUAAUAAAGCAUUAUCUUCCUACACGAAAAUAGCUCUUAUCUCAAUAGGGUUGUUGCUGCAAGUAAAUAAUACUUUGUCCUCGAGCAAUUAUUUCCUGCUCUUGCCAAUAGUAUAUGAUACUCACAGUAGGCGUGACUAUGGAUUGGAUUAAUUAUGUUUGUCUUUUGUCAUGCUUAGAAUGUGCUUGCCUGCUUGCCGUAUGAUAUUACACUUUUUGCUUGCAUUCCUUAUUAAAUUGAAAGAAUGUAAGAGGGCAUUGUUUUUUUACUUUGAUUUUCAGGAUAGAUUCAAUUUUAAUUUUAUUUGUCAGAGGAGUAAACAAAUAAGUAAAGUUGGGAAGUCUUACCAUGAAAUUCUAUGGAAAAUUAAAACAGGAGACUUAGGGGGUAACCCAUUAAAAUAUCUAAACGAGGAACACGAAUAGACCUGGGCUUCCAAAUGUUUUGAAGCAACUUUCAAUUAACGGAAGACUAGCUCCCCUACGAAGCCCGCUACGCGGGCUUGCCAGUGACCCUACGGUAGAGUACAUAGAUUAGCCUCGGAAAAGACAAGAAUUUUCUUAAAACCCCCUGUGAAUGAUAGUAAAAUUAGCCUCGGUAAAGACAAGAAUUCUUUCGAAGCCCCUAAUGAGUAUGCAGAUUAGCCUCGGAAAAGACAAGAGGUGUAUCAAACUCGAUUUGAAAAAAAUUGGCUCCGCACAGGUCACGUGAUAAAAAAAUUACUCGCACUCCUGUGACUAUCGCUAGGAAGGGGGGAGCCUCUACCCCUUCUCUAUUUCAGGCGACCCCCUGACUAGCGAUAGUCACAGGAGUGCGAGUAAUUUUUUUAUCACGUGACCUGUGCGGAGCCAAUUUUUUUCAAAUCGAGUUUGAUACACCUCUUGUCUUUUCCGAGGCUAAUCUGCAUACUCAUUAGGGGCUUCGAAAGAAUUCUUGUCUUUACCGAGGCUAAUUUUACUAUCAUUCACAGGGGGUUUUAAGAAAAUUCUUGUCUUUUCCGAGGCUAAUCUAUGUACUCUACCGUAGGGUCACUGGCAAGCCCGCGUAGCGGGCUUCGUAGGGGAGCUAGUUUGUUCUUCUAUUUCGUGUCCAAAACUUUCCUUAGUAUUCUUGAUGUUCCCAGAAGGCAGGUCCUUUGCACUACUUCAAUCCAAACUUUGCACUUUAGUUGCUCUAGGUAAUUUUUGAAUCUUUUGGUCACUGAGCCUAACGCUCCGAUGAUAACUGGAAUGAUGAGAACUUUAUUGACUUCACCUUUAUAGACUUUGAAUAUCUCGUACUUCAGAUCGCAGUAAGCACUUUCUUUUCCAUUUCUUUUUUCUCAAUUCUGGUAUCGAAGGGACAUGCCACGUCUAUUAUAUAACAUGUUUUUGACUUUUUUUCAAUGACAACUAUAUCUGGCCUGUUAUGUUCGAUUUUAGACUCAGUUUGAAUGGAGAAGUCCCAUAGAAGUCUAAUUGCUUCAUUUUCUAGUACAGCAAUUGUGUUAUCUACAAAGUGAUCGUUGUUCUUUGAUCCGCAAGGAAAUCCAAACUUGUGGCACAGAUGCCAAUGUAUCACAGCAGCCACUUUAUCAUGAAGCCAUUUCUUGUACUCAUUUUGUGCCAGUUUUUUACACUCCGAGACAAUGUGGCUUAUAGUCUCAUCCCGCUCCCCGCACAUUCGAUACAUUGCGGAUCCUUGCCUUUUAUCUAUCAUAACCGAUAUCCAGUUUGUUCUAAGUGCAAUGGUUUUUCGCUAAACCUUUCUUUUCUGUUUUCAAUGAUCAUUCUCUUCUUUUCCCCUGGGCUUUGUCUCUCUUUGAUGAUAUUGUCUUUGCGCACUUCUUUCAGUAGUUGUUCUUGCUUAGUAUUUAUAUAAUAUCCAAGGCUAUUCUCUUCUAUAGUGAUACAAUCCUCUAUACUA
This is a non-coding RNA of Rhopilema esculentum, 3917 nucleotides long. The record is from RefSeq and is a predicted model, not a curated record. Lineage: Eukaryota; Metazoa; Cnidaria; Scyphozoa; Rhizostomeae; Rhizostomatidae.